Molecule: long non-coding RNA, 678 nt
Filed under: Homo sapiens (human)
Lineage: Eukaryota; Metazoa; Chordata; Mammalia; Primates; Hominidae
Description: HSALNT0304532
Source: RNAcentral
CUGGCCAUUGAAGCAGGGAGCUUUGUGAUGAAGUUGGAGAAGCAGGAAGGGUCCAAUCAUUCCAAGCCCUUGCCUCAUUAUAGUAUAUUUUGAGGGAAAAAGUUGAAAGGACUUGCUGUGAAUUAGAUAGAGGAGGAGAACAGGCUUGAGGGAGAGAGGAAUCCAUGGUUCAUGUUCAUGGUGUCAUGUUUGAGAUGCCUGUGACAUGUCCACGUUUCAACCCUGAUAAAGAGUUGGAUUUCUCAAAGUCCUGCAGUGGCCACAGGACACUGUAGAAGCUGACCCCUUUACUUACUUCUCCAACUCAUUUACUACUUUUCCCCACUCUCAUUCUGUGCCUCAGACAUGCCAAGGUGCACUCCAGACUCAACACCCUUGAACAUAAUGUGUAGCCUGCAUUAUGUUUUCAUAAUUGAAAUCUUUAAAAUUAGGCUACUAUGACCUGCACAAGUGCAUACAGUGGUUGAUAUAGUUUGAGUAUUUGUCCCCACAUCUCAUGUUGAAUUAUAAUCCCCAAUGUUGGAGGUGGGGCUUUGUGGGAGGUGUUUGGGUCAUGAGGGUGGAUCCUUCAUGGCUUGGUGCUAUCCUUGCCAUACUGAGUGAGUUCUCACGAGUUGUAAUUGAUUAAGUGUGUGACACUUCCUCCCCUACUCUCUCUUGCUCCCGCUCAGCCAUGUG